Molecule: long non-coding RNA, 570 nt
Filed under: Zalophus californianus (California sea lion)
Lineage: Eukaryota; Metazoa; Chordata; Mammalia; Carnivora; Otariidae
Description: lncRNA (ENSZCAG00015010831.1)
Source: RNAcentral
UCGGACUCCGGGCUUCCGGGGGCAGCCUGCAGCAGUCCCGGGCGCGGCACCUGCGGCGGGCGACUCUCCCGCUGGGGCGCAGGGCCCCGGCCACGGGGCAUCCCAGCCGAAGCCGGCGCGGGUGACGGGCCGGGUUGGGAGAGCUGCGCCUCGGCGUUUGGGGGAGACUCCGCGUCAUCAGGAUCUUGGGUUAUGUUCCUGAUUUUAUGCAGAUGCCACGGCUCCGUAUAUAAAGGACAUUCACUAAAAAGAAGGAGACUCUGCAAGGAUCUGCUAUCACAGAUAUGGAGGUUGGGAAGAAUUGUCCAGACACCAUUAAAAGCAUGAAUGUGUACCUUUGGUAUUGAACGUGGUGUAGAUUGAAGGAGCAAAAGAUCUCUUCUUCCUUUCGUAGUUGACCUGUGAACAACACUGGUUUGAACUGCACUGGUUCACUUAUACGUGGAUUUUUUUUGAUGAAUACAAUACUGUAAGUAGAUGUUCUAUUAUAAUUUUCUUAAUAAUAUUUUCUUUAUCUUGCUUUAUUGCAAGAAUAUAUUAUACAUAUAACAUACAAUAAAUGUUAAUUGA